AGGCGGCAGCAGUAGCGCCCGGCGCUUCGCCGGCUGCGCUUCCAAAUAUCGGCCGGUACCCGGGCAGCCGCCACCGCUGCCCGGGGCGGGGGCCCGGCGGCGCCCAGCUGGUCCAGCCUCCCGCGGGAGCGACAACGCAGCGGCUCUCCCCGAGCAUCCCCGCGAGGCUUUUGUGCGUGCCCGGGGCGGCUCCCCUCCCGAGGAGGUCGGCGGCGGGCGCGUAGCCCCGUGGUAGCAUCCUCUCGGAGGCGGAAGGGGGAGCGGGGCACAGACGCGCCGAGGGGCUGCGGCGGACAAAGCAAGGAGGCAGGCGGGGACCCCUUCCAUUCCAUGCCCUUCUCCUUCUCUCCCUUUCCCGCAGCUCCACUGUCGGUGGUGCCCGCGCCGCCGCCAGCCCCGCAUCCCGCGGCGGAGGUAGGGCCCGGCGCUGCCCCGAGCCCUUCCCCGCGGCUCCCCUACCUGUUCGGAAGAAAGCAUCCACCUCGGAGUCGGGGACAGCGCCUUCCUCUGCCGCUCCUUCGGUGGGAUUCAUGGCUGGGAGAGAGGCAGCGGCGAGCCCGGCGGCUGGUAAUAUCCAAAAGAAAAAACAACUGUUGGAGUUAUCACCCCUCUGACUGUAUUACCAUUGGAUAACCCAUCCUUGCUUCAAAAUUGUAUCUCCCACUCUGAAGAAGAAAAGUCUUUCAGCCAGGAAGUCCUUGUGCCCUCAGUGCCAUUACCCUGCAGGAGUAAUGCCCAAUCGCCAGUCCUUGGCCGCUGAAACAACUGUGAUGCUUAAGUGACUCUAUAGGUGCACAGGAGGAAGUCAGCUAUAGAAGAUGAGGACAAAAUAUCUCUGGGAACCUGGUCGCCACACAGGGACUGGAGCACUUCAAAAGAGCUAAGUAUCAGUCCAGUAGUGCAUCUCAAGAAAGAAAAUACUCUGAAUAGCAGAAAUCUCAGAGCCAGCUGGUAGUAAGUGAUACUGUUUGGCUCAGAUCUCAAUCUGUCGGGUAGGAUAGCAGCUGAGGCUGGCAGAACCUUUCCUGUUUCAGCCUAGAAUAUUUUAGACAACAAAAGAACAUAGGUUUCCUCCAUCUGAUCUCUUCUCAAGAGAGCAUAGAGGAAGGCUGGAUUUGGAUGUGUGCUCACAGACUAGAUAUAUUGCACUUGAUAGAAAGGCUGAAAAUUUCCCUGCAGAAACUUAACUGUCAAACUGGCAUUGACCAGGCAGGAUGAGCACAGAGAUCCCAGUCGCAUCUUCUCUGACCUUACUGUUUGCUACUGGAAUUGAAACAGAAUUGAGAAGCUAAUCGUAUGUCAUGCCUGGGGACUGCAGAAAUAAGGGCAAACAUCUGAUUGAGCUCUAUCUAGCAUUUAGUUUCCCUUUGAUUGCCUUAGUCCCUCUCUUCUGAUCUCCAAUCUACUGCCCAUUUCCCAAGCCUGACACCAGCUGGCUUUAACUGAAGCCAUUUAGCUUGUUAUGUUUAUGGAUUAAAAGGGUCAUUUCACAAUUGUCUGCAGAAAAUAUCAACAUAAAAGCCAUGUCCAGGCUGCCGAAGCUCAUUGCAGACCUCUGUGCUGCCUCUGAGCCUAGCUCCUUAGGACAACCAGGAUGCCAGGAUCACCGCAGGAAUGCCAGCAGUGGGGCAUCACCACAGCACAAUGACCUGAACAACUUAGAACAAGAAUGGUCCCAGAUCUCUCAUACUUUGAAACAAAUGGGAAUUUCAACUUUUAAGUGUUUGGAGUUUUUUAAUCCAGUUUCAUUAAAGUGUAUCAAGACUUAGCCAUGUAUUUUUGUUGCUCAUCUCUGCUGUGCAAGGCACAGCAAGUUUGUUCUUCUGUGCUUGCAGCUCCACUGGCCAGUGAAGCCCUGCACAAUAAAUUCACUGUUUUCGUGGCA
Long non-coding RNA from Strigops habroptila (Kakapo), 1885 nucleotides. RefSeq lists it as uncharacterized. The transcript has 3 exons. The record is from RefSeq and is a predicted model, not a curated record. NCBI's taxonomy places the organism in Eukaryota, Metazoa, Chordata, Aves, Psittaciformes, Psittacidae.